Molecule: long non-coding RNA, 574 nt
Filed under: Pan troglodytes (chimpanzee)
Lineage: Eukaryota; Metazoa; Chordata; Mammalia; Primates; Hominidae
Description: long non-coding RNA NONPTRT015720
Source: RNAcentral
GCCGAGGCCCGGCGUGGGGAGGCCGGCAGGAAGGGCCUCGAGCCCAGUGCGGACCUUUCUUCAGCCUCUGUGCUACCGAGCCGCGCGCCAGGCUCCUGUGCGAGGAGGACGCGCUGACUCCCUCCGACCUGGGCUCCGAUGGAGCAGAAAUAGCGGGACCUGGACUUGUGGCGCGCCUGGUGCCACAUCUCGGGCUCUGCGAGCGUCCUGGCGCGGGAUCCUGCCUAAUGUCUUACAAUAACAGAAUGCAGGAGAGCACAUAUCAAUGAAGAAAAGACAAAAUGUACUUAUCCAUGAAGCUGAGGUUAAGAAACCAGUGUCUUCAAGAGCCAAGGACAGCACUGGGUCUGUGCAGAGUUGAGAGAUGGUGAUGACAUGUGACAGAGCUCCUUGCUGCUCAAAUUUUAUGCCAGAUAAAAUAUUCACCUUCUCGGACUCCCUGGCACCAGGCAUGGCCAUGUAAUCCUACAGCACAGCUGAUGAAAGAGAAGCCAUCUUGCUGCUAUUUGACAAGCAAGAAGAUAAAAGCUUUCCUAUAAAGUUGAUGGAGCAAAAAGAUAGAAGGGGCCUAGAC